AGGGUUUGAUCAUGGCUCAGAACGAACGCUGGUGGCGUGCUUAACACAUGCAAGUCGAACGAGAAAGUUUCCUUCGGGAAAUUAGUAAAGUGGCGCAAGGGUGAGUAUCACGUGAAUAAUCUGCCCUCGAGAUCGGGAUAACAUGGUGAAAACUAUGCUAAUACCGGAUAAGACCACAUUUCAUAAGAAAUGCGGUAAAAGGAGUCUCAAUCUUCACUCGAGGAUGAGUUCGCGCAACAUUAGCUUGUUGGUGGGAUAAAAGCUCACCAAGGCUACGAUGUUUAGCCGGCCUGAGAGGGUGAUCGGCCACACUGGAACUGAGACACGGUCCAGACUCCUACGGGAGGCAGCAGUGGGGAAUAUUGCGCAAUGGGCGAAAGCCUGACGCAGCAACGCCGUGUGAGCGAUGAAGGCUUUAGGGUCGUAAAGCCCUGUCAAAUGGGAAGAAUUUUGACGGUACCAUUAGAGGAAGCCCCGGCUAACUCCGUGCCAGCAGCCGCGGUAAUACGGAGGGGGCAAGCGUUGUUCGGAAUUAUUGGGCGUAAAGCGUAUGUAGGCGGUUAAACAAGUCAGGCGUGCAAGCCCGUGGCUCAACCACGGAAUUGCGUUUGAAACUGUUUA
Molecule: ribosomal RNA, 621 nt
Filed under: uncultured bacterium
Lineage: Bacteria
Description: bacterial SSU rRNA
Rfam family: Bacterial small subunit ribosomal RNA
Source: RNAcentral